AGAGUUUGAUCCUGGCUCAGGAUGAACGCUGGCGGCGUGCCUAACACAUGCAAGUCGAGCGGGAAACUCCACUUCGGUGGAGCGGAGAGCGGCGCACGGGUGAGUAACACGUAGCUUACCUGCCCCGAAGAGGGGGAUAACUCACGGAAACGUGAGCUAAUACCCCAUAAGCUCCCAUCCUCUAGAGGGAUGCGAGAAAAGUUCAGGCGCUUCGGGAUGGGGCUGCGGCCCAUCAGCUAGUUGGUAAGGUAACGGCUUACCAAGGCGACGACGGGUAGGGGGCCUGAGAGGGUGACCCCCCACACUGGGACUGAGACACGGCCCAGACUCUUACGGGAGGCAGCAGUGAGGAAUAUUGCCCAAUGGACGCAAGUCUGAGGCAGCGACGCCGCGUGGGUGAUGAAGGUUUUCGGAUCGUAAAGCCCUUUUCUCGGUGACGAGGAAGGACGGUAACCGAGGAAUAAGUGUCGGCUAACUACGUGCCAGCAGCCGCGGUAAAACGUAGGACGCAAGCGUUAUCCGGAAUUACUGGGCGUAAAGCGCGUGCAGGCGGGUGAGUAAGUCAGCCGUGAAAGCUCCCGGCUAAACUGGGAGAGGUCGGUUGAAACUACUGAUCUGG
Molecule: ribosomal RNA, 619 nt
Filed under: uncultured bacterium
Lineage: Bacteria
Description: bacterial SSU rRNA
Rfam family: Bacterial small subunit ribosomal RNA
Source: RNAcentral